RNAcentral lists this ribosomal RNA (253 nucleotides) under uncultured bacterium. RNAcentral describes it as "partial 16S ribosomal RNA". It matches the Rfam family "Bacterial small subunit ribosomal RNA", at positions 524 to 776 of the family's 1533-position model. The record is from RNAcentral.
GACGUAGGGCGCGAGCGUUGUCCGGAUUUAUUGGGCGUAAAGAGCUCGUAGGCGGCUUGUCGCGUCGACUGUGAAAACCCGCGGCUCAACUGCGGGCCUGCAGCCGAUACGGGCAGGCUAGAGUUCGGUAGGGGAGACUGGAAUUCCUGGUGUAGCGGUGAAAUGCGUAGAUAUCGAGAGGAACACCAGUGGCGAAGGCGAGUCCCUGGACAACACCUGACACUGAGGCACGAAAGCCGGGGGAGCAAACAGG